RNAcentral lists this transfer RNA (57 nucleotides) under Erinaceus europaeus (western European hedgehog). It matches the Rfam family "tRNA", at positions 8 to 63 of the family's 71-position model. Rfam says of the family: Transfer RNA (tRNA) molecules are approximately 80 nucleotides in length. The record is from Rfam by way of RNAcentral. Lineage: Eukaryota; Metazoa; Chordata; Mammalia; Eulipotyphla; Erinaceidae.
UAGCUUAGUGGUAGAGUGCAAGUCUUACAUACUUGAGGUCAUGGGUUCAAUUUCCAA